Molecule: non-coding RNA, 72 nt
Organism: Phrynosoma platyrhinos (Desert horned lizard)
Lineage: Eukaryota; Metazoa; Chordata; Lepidosauria; Squamata; Phrynosomatidae
Source: the annotation of a GenBank genome assembly
GCCAAAGUGGUGUAGCAGUUUGAGUACUGGAUUACGACUCUGGAGAUCAGGGUUCAAUUCCCUGCUCGAGCA